Molecule: ribosomal RNA, 1159 nt
Filed under: metagenome
Description: SSU rRNA
Rfam family: Eukaryotic small subunit ribosomal RNA
Source: RNAcentral
AGUCUGGUGCCAGCAGCCGCGGUAAUUCCAGCUCCAAUAGUGUAUACUAAAGUUGCUGCAGUUAAAAAGCUCGUAGUUGGAUUUCGGUUAAUGAAAAGUUAGUCCACUUAAUAUAUAAGUGCGUACUGACGUUUUAUUUCCUUCUUUUCAGAUAUACAACUUGUUGUGUUCUGAAUCUUUUACUUUGAGAAAAUUAGAGUGCUCAAAGCAGGCGUAACCAAGCCUUUGAAUAUAUUAGCAUGGGAUAAUGGAAUAAGACUUUUUGCCUUAUUUUCGUUGGUUCUUGAGGCUAAAGUAAUGAUUAAUAGGGAUAGCUGGGGUCAUUAGUAUUUAAUUGUCAGAGGUGAAAUUCUAAGAUUUAUUAAAGACUAACUACUGCGAAAGCAUUUGACAAGGAUGUUUUCAUUAAUCAAGAACGAAAGUUGGGGGAUCGAAGAUGAUCAGAUACCGUCGUAGUCUCAACCAUAAACUAUGCCGACCAAGGAUUCGGGGGUGUUAUAUGAAUGACCCUCCGGGCACUUAUAGAGAAAUCAUAAGUAUUUGGGUUCCGGGGGGAGUAUGGUCGCAAGGCUGAAACUUAAAGGAAUUGACGGAAGGGCACCACCAGGAGUGGAAUAUGCGGUUUAAUUUGACCCAACACGGGAAAACUUACCAGGUCCAGACACAGUGAGGAUUGACAGAUCGAGAGCUCUUUCUUGAUUUUGUGGGUGGUGGUGCAUGGCCGUUUCUAGUUGGUGGAGUGAUUUGUCUGGUUAAUUCCGUUAACGAACGAGACCUUAACCUAUUAAAUAGUUACACAUACUUGGGAUUCGUCCUAAUAGUAUGUGGUUAACUUCUUAGAGGGACUCUUCACGUAAAGAGUGAAUGGAAGUUUGAGGCAAAAACAGGUCUGUGAUGCCCUUAGAUGUUCUGGGCUACACGCGUGUUACACUGAUAUAUUCAACAAGCAUUAUAAUUCCUUACCCGAUGGGGUUGGGUAAUCUUUUAAAUGUAUAUCGUGAAGGGGAUAGACCAUUGUAAUUAUUGGUCUUGAACGAGGAAUUCCUAGUAAGUGCAAGUCAUUAGCUUGCGCUGAUUACGUCCCUGCCCUUUGUACACACCGCCCGUCGCUCCUACCGAUGAAUGGUCCGGUGAGGACUCAGGAUGACCGUGGAUUUUC